This 3597-nucleotide long non-coding RNA is filed under the name Ananas comosus (pineapple). RNAcentral's name for it is "long non-coding RNA (ACOM_LNC043627)". Lineage: Eukaryota; Viridiplantae; Streptophyta; Magnoliopsida; Poales; Bromeliaceae. The record is from RNAcentral.
CGUACUCCUGUCCUAGCCGUCUGGUGGCGAACAAUCGCACCUCACCCAACAACGGCCUAGGUAAAUGACUUAGCCACCCGGCGGCGAAAUCGUCGCACAACGCCACGACAGUGGUUCAGUCAACAGGCGGUAGGAUCCAUAAACUGGCUAACCAUCCGGCGGCGAAAUCGUCGCACACGCCACGACAAUGGUUCUUUAGCCCUUGGGCGGCGAAAUCGUCGCACACACCCGACACCCCUCUGGGUGUAUCAACAAGCUUUGAGAUUCCGGAGUCCAUUUCACAUUACUCGAGGGUUAGUCUUAACCUUAUGGAAUCGACCGAUCUAGGUCCAAGUCUUUACUCGACCUAAUUUAACACUUUAGGUUCGAUUCUUUUAUAUUCUUAGCCUAGGUUUAUUAUCCCUAGGACCAUCAUUCUUUCCAACCUAGGUUCACUUGACUCUAGGUUAAGCACUUUUCAUUUCACAACCUAUGUUCUUUACAUUAGGUUUAACAUCAUUCUUAUUUAACCUAUGUUUAAUAACACUCGGUUCAUUUUAUGUCCAACCUAUGGUUAAUAACACUAGGUUCAUUUCAUAUCCAACCUAUGUUUAAUAAUCCUAGGUUCAUGCCAUGCCACUCGAUCUAUGUAUGAUCCUAGUUGUCCAUUCCUAGGAUUAUGGUUUACACGUUUUAUAUUCAACUUAUGUGACUUUAGCAUGUUCAACAUUCAUAUGUCAUUUAUCAUUCAUAUGUUCAUAUACCGACAAUCCUAUGCAUUUAGCAUGAACUACAAUGCAUUCGUAUGCGUCUAGCAUGUUCGUCAUAUGACAAUCAUCAUGUAUCAUCUAGCAUGAGAUUCAUAUUCAUAUAUAUUUAUUCUUAUGUCUCUAGUAUUUACCACUCAUGCAUUCAUAGGCAUCUAGCAUUCAUAUGUCAAUGGUCAUAUAUUAUCUAACAUGAUCAUCCAUAUUCAUAUUCAUGUAUGUUUAGACAUAUGCAUCAAAUGUUCGCUUUCAUGUGUCAACAAUUAUGUAUGCUUUAGCAUCUAUGUUUACAUUUCGACAAUUUCAUUCAUAUAUGCAUCAAAUGAAACCACGAUUUACUUUGGCAUGGAAGUGACCUAAUCACUUCGGUAAAGCACAACCCACCUUUAGUUGAUACCUGGACGCGAGAAAUUCGCUUCCCGCGCUUUCCCGAGAUUCGCGACCCGCGCUCGUGCCAAUUGUAGCCGAAAAAUCUUCUUUCGGCGAUAUCUUCGCGUAGGCUCGACGGAUUGCCGAACCGACUUCGCCAACGCGUUUCCUUUACCCUCAAUUAGGUUUGUACGCGGUCAAUUUCACAUUAGGACUUCUAUCCUGCAAAAGUGCAUUAUCAAGUUUAGGUUCCAAUUAACCUAUCACUAUACACACUCUACACUUAAUACAACCUGUUUCUAUACAGGUUCUAUAAGAACCUUUAUAGAAACCUAGGCUUCAUUAAUCCGACAAACUCGAAGCCACUAACUUAGGAAUAUUAGAAAUCAACUCCUGUUAUUUCUCAUUCCUAAAGCUUCACAUCAACCUAAAAGCUCAUAUGUUAUUUACACAACAUAUAGCUUUUCUAUACCCCAAUCGAAGUUCCAAUACCCCAAAGACCUUCAACGAAGAGAUUGAAGAGAUUUACAUCAAUCCCUAAUCAAAACCUGCAUAAGAGCUGGUUGUUUACUCCUAGCUGCCAAGGCCAACACCCAACACACAAUGCUGAAAUUCUGGUUUACAAAACAGUCCCUGCAGUUUUUUUUUUACAAAACAGUCCCUGCAGCCCCUUUCUUUGCACUAGACAACAGCAGCAGCAACAAUAGCAGCCCAUUUCAGCACUUCAAUCCACUUCGAGCACCUCUAAUCACUUCCACAAUAUACUAAUGAACCUCCACGAGCUUCCAAUUUAAUCCAAGAACAAACCAACUUUAUUUAUUGCAUUAUCUUGAUCCAUUUAAUCAAGAUUAAUCAAUGCAAUUCCUGCACUUGGCAGCAACCUCACAGCCCAAACCCAAUCCGCAUGGCAGCCACAACAAUCCGAAAGUCACGGAAAAAUCCGUCGACGAAACGCUCGCAAAAUCGGCUUCUAAAUCACAUAGAAAUCGAUUUCUGAACUUUAAUUUUAGCAUAGAUUCAAUUCUAAACUUCAAUUUCAAUGAAAAUCCAUCUAGAACACCUUUCUUAGCAUCCACUGUCAAGAAUUCACCAAAACCUGAUUUGAAACCAUAAUAAUAGAAUACUAACUUCGCAAUCGAAGCGCCGGAAAAAUCCAACGCGCGCGGGGAAUCGAUCGGCUCGACAAACGGCACCAAAAUAUGUUACUUUCUUCUUCUUCUUCUCUCUAUUCCUUUUCUCUUCCUUUCACUCUCUCUCUCAUGCGUACAGGAGGGUGAAGAGGAUAAAGAUGCCCCUGGCAGCUUAGUGGAAAUCCACUAAGUAAUGGAAUAAUUACCAUAAUGCCCUUCUACUAAUCCGUUUAGCAACUCGGAUCAGAUACCUUUCGCAGGCCCUUCCAAAUGUCCGAUUGAGCUCAAAUUUGACAGGCAUGCUCGGUUUUACUUAACAAGUCCACUGAAAUUUUAACAUUUCAGUUUCGACCCCGUUUGGUCACUGCGAACUGUCCCGAACUGUAAUCUUUAUCCGAUAACUUCCAGAUGCUAUUUCUCUCUCUACAGGUGUCAGAAAAAUCUGAAACUUCAAAUCUAGCCUCAUAAAAAUGUUCCUGACAUCUCUGCCAGUUUUCAUAAUUUUCUGACACUGUGCAUUUUCUGCUAAUUUUCUCAGUCCCGUUCUUUACAGAAAAUUCUAAAGUUUUCGUUUUCACUCCGAUUUCACCCAAACAUGUCCAAAAGAUACCAAGGGACCUUCACAAGCUACCAAUCCAAUUUGGAAGCAAUUCGUUUUCAUUUUGACAUUAUUUGAGCCGAAUUAGAAAUAGAAUCGGCUCCAAUUCCAUUACAUGGCCUUUUUGCACUACCACUUCGCACUGAGCUCUUCAAAACCCUGUGAAAACACACCCUUGGCUUUACCAAAACUUCACAAUUGAUUCGGAGAUACCACAAUUUAUCCUUACGCCUUAUUUUAAUUCUUUUAAUCAAAGUUAGCAUCGGAAUUUCGAAAAUUCUCUUUACUCUCUUUACAUUUCGUUUCGCGCCCAAUUUGCGCCGAAACACUUAUUUAUCUCCAGAAUUCAUUCACACGCAUCACAAAUCACUCGGGGAUGAUGUCCAACUAGCUCAAUCCUCACUUUGACCCUCUAGGUCAAAGUUGACAUCGCAACUCCAAGUUUCCAUAUGUUACAAAAAUGAUACCUGCAACCACAUUCUCGGCUGCCGCCGCCUCCUCAGUCUGGGCCGCGUACAUGUGCCCGCUCGGGGCCUGUUGUGACCCCUCCGUCUGCCGCUGGACAGGUGGCCGACCGGCCUGGUGAUGCACAGAAGAUGUCCCCUGGCUGGGACCUGGCGAUGCUGGUGCAGAUACCGAAGAUGGCGCUGGCAAUGGACUCCUCGGGCAGUCCGACUGGAAGUGGCCCUCCUGGCCACACAAGAAGCACCUGCCCCGGCUGCGUGAACACUGCCGCGGGUAAUGAGGACCGCCA